UGACAGGGAGACAGGUUGGUGCAUGGGUUGUCGUCAGCUCGUGUCGUGAGAUGUUGGGUUAAGUCCCGCAACGAGCGCAACCCCUGUCCUAUGUUGCCAGCAUUCAGUUGGGGACUCAUAGGAGACUGCCGGCGUCAAGCCGGAGGAAGGUGGGAUGACGUCAAGUCAUCAUGCCCCUUAUGUCCUGGGCUGCACACGUGCUACAAUGGUCGGUACAAUGGGCUGCGAUGCCGCGAGGCGGAGCGAAUCCCAUAAAACCGGCCCCAGUUCGGAUCGAAGGCUGCAACUCGCCUUCGUGAAGUCGGAGUUGCUAGUAAUCGCGGAUCAGCAUGCCGCGGUCGAAUACGUUCCCGGGCCUU
RNAcentral lists this ribosomal RNA (359 nucleotides) under uncultured Coriobacteriaceae bacterium. RNAcentral's name for it is "bacterial SSU rRNA". It matches the Rfam family "Bacterial small subunit ribosomal RNA", at positions 1024 to 1382 of the family's 1533-position model. The record is from RNAcentral. Lineage: Bacteria; Bacillati; Actinomycetota; Coriobacteriia; Coriobacteriales; Coriobacteriaceae.